This 159-nucleotide ribosomal RNA is filed under the name Corynascus citrinus. RNAcentral's name for it is "5.8S ribosomal RNA". It matches the Rfam family "5.8S ribosomal RNA". Rfam says of the family: 5.8S ribosomal RNA (5.8S rRNA) is a component of the large subunit of the eukaryotic ribosome. It is transcribed by RNA polymerase I as part of the 45S precursor that also contains 18S and 28S rRNA. Lineage: Eukaryota; Fungi; Ascomycota; Sordariomycetes; Sordariales; Chaetomiaceae. The record is from RNAcentral.
AAAACUUUCAACAACGGAUCUCUUGGUUCUGGCAUCGAUGAAGAACGCAGCGAAAUGCGAUAAGUAAUGUGAAUUGCAGAAUUCAGUGAAUCAUCGAAUCUUUGAACGCACAUUGCGCCCGCCAGUAUCCUGGCGGGCAUGCCUGUUCGAGCGUCAUUU